RNAcentral lists this transfer RNA (90 nucleotides) under Nitrospirota bacterium. RNAcentral's name for it is "Nitrospirae bacterium (groundwater metagenome) tRNA-Ser". It matches the Rfam family "tRNA". From Rfam's summary of the family: Transfer RNA (tRNA) molecules are approximately 80 nucleotides in length. Their secondary structure includes four short double-helical elements and three loops (D, anti-codon, and T loops). Lineage: Bacteria; Pseudomonadati; Nitrospirota. The record is from RNAcentral.
GGAGAGGUGCAGGAGCGGCUGAACUGGCACGCCUGGAAAGCGUGUAGGGGGUCACAAGCUUCCUCGAGGGUUCGAAUCCCUCCCUCUCCG